AUUGAACGCUGGCGGCAUGCUUUACACAUGCCAGUCGAACGGCAGCGCGGGCUUCGGCCUGGCGGCGAGUGGCGAACGGGUGAGUAAUGCAUCGGAACGUGCCCAGUAGUGGGGGAUAGCCCGGCGAAAGCCGGAUUAAUACCGCAUACGACCUGAGGGUGAAAGCGGAGGACCGAAAGGCCUCGCGCUAUUGGAGCGGCCGAUGUCGGAUUAGCUAGUUGGUGGGGUAAAGGCUUACCAAGGCGACGAUCCGUAGCUGGUCUGAGAGGACGACCAGCCACACUGGGACUGAGACACGGCCCAGACUCCUACGGGAGGCAGCAGUGGGGAAUUUUGGACAAUGGGGGCAACCCUGAUCCAGCCAUGCCGCGUGCGGGAAGAAGGCCUUCGGGUUGUAAACCGCUUUUGUUCGGGAAGAAAUCCUCUGGGCUAAUACCCCGGGGGGAUGACGGUACCGGAAGAAUAAGCACCGGCUAACUACGUG
This 484-nucleotide ribosomal RNA is filed under the name uncultured bacterium. Its description in RNAcentral is "partial 16S ribosomal RNA". It matches the Rfam family "Bacterial small subunit ribosomal RNA", at positions 28 to 507 of the family's 1533-position model. The record is from RNAcentral.